UAAUUAGGUCUUUCCACUUUUCUGUGAAAAGACCUAUUGUUUUUCUUCUGAUUAUUUUUUUUUCUUCUUCCGCCAAAUUUUGUUCUUGCGAUAAACAUUUGUUUCGCAAUAUGUGUCGCUUAGAUAUUUUGGUAUAUGAUAUCGAACAGUUUAUGCGCUUUUGAAAUUUACCCUGCGUAACCGAAUACUUUUCUUUGUAGGAGUUAUCUCCCCAAACACUGUUUUCCUUGUUAGCGCAUCUCCUUCGCAACCGUAAAAGAUUACGACAAAUUUAUUUUAUAAAAUUGCUCGUUAUAUCCUUCGCAUGAUUUGUCCAAUUUCGACCGAAGCAAUAUGAACGCUCCAUAUGAGAGUUAUUUCCCUUUUUGUAUUUGAAAUUUUGAAAUGUAUUUUAAACUGGAACACCAUAAGUGAUAGAGACCUAGGAUCUUUUGAUUUGAGGUCCUUGGUCCAAAAAAAUGAAAAUUAGGUCAAG
RNAcentral lists this long non-coding RNA (475 nucleotides) under Mytilus galloprovincialis (Mediterranean mussel). The record is from RNAcentral. Lineage: Eukaryota; Metazoa; Mollusca; Bivalvia; Mytilida; Mytilidae.